This 163-nucleotide unclassified non-coding RNA is filed under the name uncultured Sordariomycetes. Its description in RNAcentral is "sequence contains ITS1". The record is from RNAcentral. Lineage: Eukaryota; Fungi; Ascomycota; Sordariomycetes.
CUGAUAGAGCUUAAAACCUCUAAUACCCUUUGUUAAUCUACCAUUUUAGUUGCUUCGGCGGGCAGUCCCAGGGCGGGACCCAGCCUGUAUUUUGCAGGUGUCCGCCGACGGCACAAAAACUCUAUUUUUCUCUGGCAUCUGAGUACUAUAAAAAAAUAAGUCA